This 497-nucleotide ribosomal RNA is filed under the name uncultured bacterium. RNAcentral describes it as "partial 16S ribosomal RNA". It matches the Rfam family "Bacterial small subunit ribosomal RNA", at positions 28 to 507 of the family's 1533-position model. The record is from RNAcentral.
GAUGAACGCUGGCGGCGUGCCUAAUACAUGCAAGUCGAGCGGACAGAUAAGGAGCUUGCUCCUUUGACGUUAGCGGCGGACGGGUGAGUAACACGUGGGUAACCUACCUAUAAGACUGGAAUAACUCCGGGAAACCGGGGCUAAUGCCGGAUAACAUUUAGAACCGCAUGGUUCUAAAGUGAAAGAUGGUUUUGCUAUCACUUAUAGAUGGACCCGCGCCGUAUUAGCUAGUUGGUAAGGUAACGGCUUACCAAGGCAACGAUACGUAGCCGACCUGAGAGGGUGAUCGGCCACACUGGAACUGAGACACGGUCCAGACUCCUACGGGAGGCAGCAGUAGGGAAUCUUCCGCAAUGGGCGAAAGCCUGACGGAGCAACGCCGCGUGAGUGAUGAAGGUCUUCGGAUCGUAAAACUCUGUUAUUAGGGAAGAACAAAUGUGUAAGUAACUGUGCACGUCUUGACGGUACCUAAUCAGAAAGCCACGGCUAACUACGUG